RNAcentral lists this ribosomal RNA (406 nucleotides) under uncultured bacterium. Its description in RNAcentral is "partial 16S ribosomal RNA". It matches the Rfam family "Bacterial small subunit ribosomal RNA", at positions 29 to 526 of the family's 1533-position model. The record is from RNAcentral.
AUUGAACGCUGGCGGCAGGCCUAACACAUGCAAGUCGAACGAGAGGCGGAAGGGUGAGCAAGGUAUGGGCAAGUGCCCGAUGGAUGGGGUUAAGUACUGGGAACGGAUACUAAAACCGAACACCAUAGGCUGGGCCCAGAUGGGAUUAGGUAGUGGGUGGGGUAACGGCUCACCUAGGCGACGAUCCGUAGCUGGUCUGAGAGGAUGAACAGCCACACUGGAACUGAGACACGGUCCAGACUCCUACGGGAGGCAGCAGUGGGGAAUAUUGCACAAUGGGCGCAAGCCUGAUGCAGCCAUGCCGCGUGUAUGAAGAAGGCCUUCGGGUUGUAAAGCACUUUCAGCGAGGAGGCGUUACUCGCAGAAGAAGCACCGGCUAACUCCGUGCCAGCAGCCGCGGUAAUUC